GGCGGCAUGCUUUACACAUGCAAGUCGAACGGGCCGGGGGCAACUCCGGUCAGUGGCGAACGGGUGAGUAAUACAUCGGAACGUACCUCGUAGUGGGGGAUAACUCGGCGAAAGCCGUGCUAAUACCGCAUAUGCUCUACGGAGGAAAGCAGGGGACCGCAAGGCCUUGUGCUAUGGGAGCGGCCGAUGUCCGAUUAGCUAGUUGGUGGGGUAAUGGCCUACCAAGGCGACGAUCGGUAGCUGGUCUGAGAGGAUGAUCAGCCACACUGGGACUGAGACACGGCCCAGACUCCUACGGGAGGCAGCAGUGGGGAAUUUUGGACAAUGGGGGCAACCCUGAUCCAGCCAUGCCGCGUGCGGGAAGAAGGCCUUCGGGUUGUAAACCGCUUUUGGUCGGGAAGAAAAGGCAGCCGUGAAUAGCGGCUGUUCUUGACGGUACUGACAGAAUAAGCACCGGCUAACUACGUGCCAGCAGCCGCGGUAAUACGUAGGGUGCGAGCGUUAAUCGGAAUUACUGGGCGUAAAGCGUGCGCAGGCGGUUCGUUGUGUCCGAUGUGAAAGCCCCGAGCUCAACUUGGGAAUGGCA
Molecule: ribosomal RNA, 586 nt
Filed under: uncultured bacterium
Lineage: Bacteria
Description: bacterial SSU rRNA
Rfam family: Bacterial small subunit ribosomal RNA
Source: RNAcentral